Molecule: long non-coding RNA, 1248 nt
Organism: Cygnus olor (mute swan)
Lineage: Eukaryota; Metazoa; Chordata; Aves; Anseriformes; Anatidae
Exons: 3
Source: RefSeq, a predicted model, not a curated record
UUCUGUGCCUUUUAAGGACGUUUAUGCCUUAUUCUGCACCAUUUAAGGACAUUUAUUCCUUAUUCUAUGUCCUUUAAGGACGUUUAUUCCUUAUUCUGUGUCCUUCAAGGAUGUUUAUUCCUUAUUCUGUGUCCUUCAAGGACGUUUAUUCCUUAUUCUGUGUCCUUUAAGGACGUUUAUUCCUUAUUCUAUGCCCUUUAAAGAAGGUUUCUUCUUUAUUCUACGCCCUUGAAGGACAUUUAUUCUUUAUUCUGCGCCCUUUAAAGAAGGUUUAUUCUUUACUCUGCACCCUUUAAGGAAAGUUUAUUCUUCAUUUUAUGCCCUUUAAGGACAUUUAUUCUUUUUCCUACAACCUUUAAGGAAGGUUUAUUUAUUCUACACCUUUUAAGGAAGGCUUAUUCUUUAUCCUACACCCCUCAAGGAAGGUAUAUUCCUUAUCCCAUGCCCCUUAAGCAAGGUUUAUUCUUUAUUUUACGCCCUUUAAGGAAGAUUUAUUUAUUCUACGCUUUUUAAGGAAGGUUUCUUCUUUAUUCUACACCAUUUAAAGAUGUUUAUUCUUUAUUCUACGCCCUUUAAGGACGUUUAUUCCUUAUUCUACAGCCUUUAAGGACAUUUAUGCCUUAUUCUAUGUCCUUUAAGGACGUUUAUGCCUUAUUCUACGUCCUUUAAAGAAGAUUUCUUCUUUAUUCUGCGCCCUUUAAAGAAGGGUUAUUCUUUACUCUGCACCCUUUAAGGAAAGUUUAUUCUUCAUUUUAUGCCCUUUAAGGACAUUUAUUCUUUUUCCUACAACCUUUAAGGAUGGCUUAUUUUUUGUCCUUCACCCCUUAAGGAAGGUAUAUUCCUUAUCCCAUGCCCCUUAAGCAAGGUUUAUUCUUUAUUUUACGCCCUUUAAGGAAGAUUUAUUUAUUCUACGCUUUUUAAGGAAGGUUUCUUCUUUAUUCUACACCAUUUAAAGACGUUUAUUCUUUAUUCUACGCCCUUGAAGGACGUUUAUGCCUUAUUCUACAGCCUUGAAGGAUGUUUAUGCCUUAUUCUAUGUCCUUUAAGGAUGUUCAUGCCUUAUUCUGCACCCUUUAAGGACGUUUAUGCCUUAUUCUACAUCCUUUAAAGAAGGUUUCUUCUUUAUUCUACGCCCUUGAAGGACAUUUAUUCUUUUUUUCUACACCCUUGAAGGAUGUUUAUCCUACACCUUUUAAAGAAGGUUUCUUCUUUCUUCUGCGCCCUUUAAAGAAGGGUUAUUCUUUACUC